Non-coding RNA from Nelumbo nucifera (sacred lotus), 1223 nucleotides. The record is from RefSeq and is a predicted model, not a curated record. Lineage: Eukaryota; Viridiplantae; Streptophyta; Magnoliopsida; Proteales; Nelumbonaceae.
GGGUGAUCCGAAUUCGACCAAAUAGAAUUGGAUCUCGGAUUGGAUCAUGAUCCAAUCCAUUUGCACCCCUAGUAGAAUUCACGCCCUUCAAAAUGUUAAGCAGAAAUGCCCAAGAUUUUCAUGCUCUGAUCAUGGCUUUAUUUGUGGGGAAGAAAUCAGAAACUGCUUUUGGAAGGGUACAUACUCCUUGGGCUGACAUGUGUGGCAACAUGGGUUGAGUCCGAGAGUGGCCUCUUUGUAGUUUGUGGCUUUGUGUUAAAAGAAAUGCCAAAGAUUUACGGGGCGUUUGGCAAAUCUUUGUAAGUGGUCUUUCAAGCUUUUUAAAGCUUAGAAGACCUGAUUUUGAGCUUUUUCGUUUGGUAACCAAAAGACAGGAAGCCGAAAAGAUUGAGAAAGCUCAGAUUUGUCUUAAAUCUGAAAGCUUCAGGUCUUUUGAGCAUAUGGAUCUUUUUGUUUGAGAAAGGGCAUUCAAAAAAUCCUUUCAGAUCCAAACCUCUACUCGUACCAGGUAUGUAGUCCUGGUACCUCGGCUAGGCUAAAUGAAUCUGCACCAGGUAUGUAGUCCUCCUUCCUCUUCUUCCUUUUUUUCCCCUUAAGUUUUUUCUUUCUUCUUUGAUCCAAACUUCUACUUGUACCUCGGUUCCUUUCAGAUCUGACCCUCCCCUCUCUCUCACUUUCUCUGUCUGAAGCUGGGAAAUCCGAUUUAAAACCAGUUGAAUUUUGUCAAAAUGAAUGUUUGCAGAAUGCAGAAGAGGGCAAUUUGUAGAACAAUUUCAUCAAAAUGAUCUCCAGAUUAACAGCUGCAGCGUGAGGAAACCAAACCAAAACAUUCAACAUUCUUAGUGGCUGCAACAUGAUUGUGGGACCUCUUGCGCAGUGUUGAUUCAAUCUAAUGAUCGUGUUCCAGAUUUGGCACUCUUGGCUAUCGGCGCUUAUGAAUUGGUUCCAAUUCAAUAACCAUUUUAUUCAAUUUUAGUGUUUUUUUCUCAACUUCGGAAAAUUUUAUGAGUUUAUACAUUAGGGACAAUAAUAGGUGGGGGAAUCUAUCACAAUUCAAGGGGGUAUUAUAGUACAGAUGGGGUUUGGGACAAUACAUUCAAAAAAUCAAUAUUUUUUUGGUGGGGGCGGGGAGCAAACCAUAAAUUUUUCUUUUUUUUGUAAUUACAUGAAUUGGAUUGUUUGUAACGAAGUAUUUCUCAAAAGAAGAAUUCAUAUUAAACUAA